UGGUGGUAUAUGGCAGCGUUGGUGGGAUUUGUCAGCGGUGGUGGUAUAUGGUAGCGGUGGUAUGAUACGGCAGCGGUGGUGAUUUUUGUUUUUCUGUAACCUACUUAGGCAAGGAAACACAAAUAAAAUAUUAGAUGGAUCUCGAAAACAAACCUAAUAUGAAUGGAACUUGGAUUGGUGGUGGAUAUAUAGUGGUAGGAUAUGGUAGCUGUGGUGGUAUAUGGCAGUGUUGGUGGGAUAUGUCAGCGGUGGUGCUAUAUGGUAGCGGUGGUAUGAUAUGGCUGCGGUGGUGGUUUUUUUUCCGAAACCUACUCAGCCAAGGAAACACGAAUCGGAAAUUAGAUGGACCUCGAAAACAAACCUAAUAUGAAAGGAACUCGGAUUGGUGGUGGAUAUAUAGUGGUAGGAUAUGGCAGCGGUGGUGGUAUAUGGUAGCAUUGGUGGGAUAUGUCAGCGGUGGUGGUAUAUGGUAGCGGUGUUAUGAUAUGGCAACAGUGGUGUUUUUUUUCCAAAACCUACUCAGUCAAGGAAACACGAAUCGGAAAUUAGAUGGAUCUCGAAAACAAA
Non-coding RNA from Aegilops tauschii subsp. strangulata, 567 nucleotides. Lineage: Eukaryota; Viridiplantae; Streptophyta; Magnoliopsida; Poales; Poaceae. The record is from RefSeq and is a predicted model, not a curated record.